This 507-nucleotide ribosomal RNA is filed under the name uncultured bacterium. Its description in RNAcentral is "partial 16S ribosomal RNA". The stretch from base 20 to 329 matches the Rfam family "Bacterial small subunit ribosomal RNA", at positions 47 to 358 of the family's 1533-position model. The record is from RNAcentral.
GACGAACGCUGGCGGCGUGCUUAACACAUGCAAGUCGAACGGAAAGGCCCUGCUUUUGUGGGGUGCUCGAGUGGCGAACGGGUGAGUAACACGUGAGUAGCCUGCCCUUGACUUUGGGAUAACUUCAGGAAACUGGGGCUAAUACCGGAUAGGAGCUCCUGCUGCAUGGUGGGGGUUGGAAAGUUUCGGCGGUUGGGGAUGGACUCGCGGCUUAUCAGCUUGUUGGUGGGGUAGUGGCUUACCAAGGCUUUGACGGGUAGCCGGCCUGAGAGGGUGACCGGCCAUUGUGGGAGGGAGGGACGGCGGAGGUGGGAGCGGGAGGAAGUGGGGGGGGUGCAUCAGCAGGGGGGGAAGGCUGGCGGCGCAAGGGCGGGGGGGGGAUGGUGGGCUGCGGGUUGGUAGUGCGCUGGGGCGUGGGGGGGAGGGGGAAGGCGGUUAUGGGGUAAAGAGGCAGGGGCAAACAGCGGGGGAGCAGCGGGGGUAAGAGACGGAGAGCGCGGUUCGAAA